GAACUUUCUUGUCACACAGGACUCCUGAUGCAAGCCUCCACUUUGACCACCCCGCUCCUAUGCGAUGAGUGACGUCCCCGUCAAUCUCUCCGUCCCCCUCAACCACUGACCCAAGAUAUCUGACACUGUCCCUCUUGGCGAUGACCUGUGAUCCAAUCAUCACAUCCCUGCCUACUUCGCUCGGCUCGGCGCUAAACUUGCACUCCAGGUAU
Molecule: long non-coding RNA, 212 nt
Filed under: Nicotiana benthamiana
Lineage: Eukaryota; Viridiplantae; Streptophyta; Magnoliopsida; Solanales; Solanaceae
Description: long non-coding RNA (NBEN_LNC020414)
Source: RNAcentral